GAUGAACGCUGGCGGCGUGCCUAAUACAUGCAAGUCGAGCGGACGGACGAUAAGCUUGCUUCUCUGAUGUUAGCGGCGGACGGGUGAGUAACACGUGGAUACCCUACCUAUCAUACUGGGAUAACUUCGGGAAACCGGCGCUAAUACCGUAUAAUAUUUUGCACCGCAUUGUUCAAAAGUGAAAGACGGUCUUGCUGUCACUUCUCGAUGCAUCCGGGCUGCAUUAUCUAGUUGGUACGGUAACGGCCUACCAAGGCAACGAUGCAUAGCCGACCUGCGAGGGGGGUAGGCGACACGGGAGGGGAGACACGGUCCAGACGCCUACGAGAGGCAGCAGAAGGGAAUCUGCGGCAGUGGGCGGAAGCCUGACGGAGCAACGCCGCGUGAGAGAUGAAGGUCUUCGGAGCGUAAAAAUCUGUUAUUAGGGAAGAACAGAUGUGUAAGGAACUGUGCACAUCGUGACGGUACCUAAUCAGAAAGCCACGGCUAACUACGUG
Molecule: ribosomal RNA, 497 nt
Filed under: uncultured bacterium
Lineage: Bacteria
Description: partial 16S ribosomal RNA
Rfam family: Bacterial small subunit ribosomal RNA
Source: RNAcentral